UACGUAGGGUGCAAGCGUUGUCCGGAAUUAUUGGGCGUAAAGAGCUCGUAGGCGGUUUGUCGCGUCUGCUGUGAAAACCCGGGGCUCAACCCCGGGCCUGCAGUCGGUACGGGCAGACUAGAGUGCGGUAGGGGAGACUGGAAUUCCUGGUGUAGCGGUGAAAUGCGCAGAUAUCAGGAGGAACACCGGUGGCGAAGGCGGGUCUCUGGGCCGUAACUGACGCUGAGGAGCGAAAGCGUGGGGAGCGAACAGG
RNAcentral lists this ribosomal RNA (253 nucleotides) under uncultured bacterium. RNAcentral describes it as "partial 16S ribosomal RNA". It matches the Rfam family "Bacterial small subunit ribosomal RNA", at positions 524 to 776 of the family's 1533-position model. The record is from RNAcentral.